This 420-nucleotide ribosomal RNA is filed under the name uncultured bacterium. Its description in RNAcentral is "partial 16S ribosomal RNA". It matches the Rfam family "Bacterial small subunit ribosomal RNA", at positions 361 to 773 of the family's 1533-position model. The record is from RNAcentral.
AUAUAUGACAAUGUGGGCAACCCUAAUCCAGCCAUGCCGCGUCUUAGCAGAAGGUCUUAUGAUCGUAAAUAUCUGUACGAUGGGAGGACGGGCAUUAGGUUAGUAUCAUCAAGUUCUGACGUUACCAACAGAAAAAGCACAGGCUAACUCUAUGCAAGCAGCCACGGUAAUACAGAGGGAGCAAGCGUUAAUCGGAAUUACUGGGCGUAAAGCGCGCGUAGGUGGUUCAGUAAGAUGGGUGUGAAAUCCCCGGGCUUAACCUGGGAACUGCUUUCAUAACUGCUGAGCUAGAGUACGGUAGAGGGUAGUGGAAUUUCCUGUGUAGCGGUGAAAUGCGUAGAUAUAGGAAGGAACACCAGUGGCGAGGGCGACUACCUGGACUGAUACUGACACUGAGGUGCGAAAGCGUGGGGAGCAAAC